GGAGCAACGCCGCGUGAGUGAUGAAGGCUUUCAGGUCGUAAAAACUCUGUUGUUAGGGAAGAACAAGUACAAGAGUAACUGCUUGUACCUUGACGGUACCUAACCAGAAAGCCACGGCUAACUACGUGCCAGCAGCCGCGGUAAUACGUAGGUGGCAAGCGUUAUCCGGAAUUAUUGGGCGUAAAGCGCGCGCAGGCGGUUUCUUAAGUYUGAUGUGAAAGCCCACGGCUCAACCGGGGAGGGUCAUUGGAAACUGGGGAACUUGAGUGCAGAAGAGAAAAGCGGAAUUCCACGUGUAGCGGUGAAAUGCGUAGAGAUGUGGAGGAACACCAGUGGCGAAGGCGGCUUUUUGGUCUGUAACUGACGCUGAGGCGCGAAAGCGUGGGGAGCAAACAGGAUUAGAUACCCUGGUAGUCCACGCCGUAAACGAUGAGUGCUAAGUGUUAGAGGGUUUCCGCCCUUUAGUGCUGCAGCUAACGCAUUAAGCACUCCCCCUGGGGAGUACGGUCGCAAGACUGAAACUCAAAGGAAUUGACGGGGGCCCGCCCAAGCGGUGGAGCAUGUGGUUUAAUUUCGAAGCAACGCGAAGAACCUUACCAGGUCUUGACAUCCUUUGACAACUCUAGAGAUAGAGGGUUCCCCUUCGGGGGA
RNAcentral lists this ribosomal RNA (651 nucleotides) under uncultured Bacillus sp. RNAcentral describes it as "bacterial SSU rRNA". Lineage: Bacteria; Bacillati; Bacillota; Bacilli; Caryophanales; Bacillaceae. The record is from RNAcentral.